GAACAUCUUAAACCUGAGGGAGUGUGUGGGGGGGGUUCCCCUGCCCCCCGUCACACCAGUGGGACUGCUCUGUCCGUUGGAACUCGACCCGGCCGGGGCCACCUAUGGACAGAGGGAGAGAGAAAGAGUCCCAGCCUGAGGCUUCGGUCUCUGCACACGACUGCAGAAAAAUAUCGAGUCAUUUCCUGGGAGAAGAUCAAAUAAUGAAGAUGUGUCCCUCAGAUAUCUCAUGGCCUUUAAGGUUCAAGGACGUGCAACCUAACGCCGCGGCUCGUCACUCUGCGGCUCUGAGCUCGUCUGGUUACCAACCAGUUUCAUCUGGAUGGAAGUCAGAAAAGGAUGGUUUCUGCCAGAAUGAGCCUUUUAUGGCGUUUGUGAGAGACUGUGGCGUGAUUAGUGUUUACAGCUUGUUAUCUGAAGAAUGACGUGGCAAUAAACAAGGUCUGCCAC
Acanthopagrus latus (yellowfin seabream) is the source of this 450-nucleotide long non-coding RNA. RefSeq lists it as uncharacterized. NCBI's taxonomy places the organism in Eukaryota, Metazoa, Chordata, Actinopteri, Spariformes, Sparidae. The record is from RefSeq and is a predicted model, not a curated record. The transcript is spliced from 3 exons.